AGCACCGACGCCUUCAUCGCACCAUAACCACAACCUUUCGGUACCACCAACAACGAACACCACCACCUGCAAUCAUUCCAGAUAUGCAUAGGUCUGGUCAGAUCUGGUUAGAUCUGAUAUUUAGAUGCAAUUUUGUUAAGCCUUUUGUUUUCCGGAGAGCUUCUUUGCCUCAGAUCGUUGGGAGAGUCACUAACUGACAUCAUCAUCUCAAAUCUAAAGCCAAAUACAUAUACCGAUUUCUCGGAUUUGGUGAGAUUUGUUGUGUCUGAUGUAUUUUCAAACAUAAAUCUAAUGUUUACAAAGCAUUUCAUGGUGGCCAGUUGUUGUUCCACUACCACCUCAGAUAUGAAAACAAUGUGCACACAAGGUGUUUGAUGAAAUGCCUAAACGAGAUCUGUAAGUUUUUAUAUUAUAAAUAAGUGUAUGAAAUUGUGUAUCAAACUAUGAACUAGUGUCUGAAAUGUAUAUUAUACUAUGAAUUUUGUUUUUUAUGCAUUAGUCUGUAAAUUAGUGUCUAAAAUGUUGAAUUAAAAAACAUUGAAUUAAACUUUGAAUUAGUGUCUAAAAUAUUGAAUUAAACUUUGAAUUAGUGCGUGAAAUAUUGUAUUAAACUGUGAAUUCUAAUUUUUUUAUCCAGAUCUAAAUUUUAUAUUUGUAAAUGAGUUGUGAAUGUAAUAUAUUAAACUGUGAAUAUGUGUUUCUUAUGUAUUAAUUUGUGAAUAUAUAAGUUAUUAAGUUGUGAAUGUGUAUUUUUUUUUAUGUAGUAAGUUGUGAAUUAGUGUCUGAAAUAUUAAAUUAAGCUGUGAAUUAGUGUCCGAAAUGUUGAAUUAAACUGUGAAUUCUGAUUUUUUUUUUAUGCAAAUUUGAUUUUAGAGGGAAAGAUGUUGACAGUAUUGGCACCGAUGGUCAGUGGUCGAGAUGGUUGAUGGUAGUGGAUAUUGGUGGUGGUGGUAGAGUAAGGAUAUGUUCUAUUUCUCACUCAUCUUCAUCUUCUUCACUGAUUCUUCGAUGAUUUCAAAUAAGUUAUCCUCUUUUAUUAUUCAUGUAUAUGUUUUUUUCUUUUGAUGUUUGCUUCUGAAAUAUGAGAUAACUUAUUUAUGUAUUAAACUGUGAAUGAGUUUUUUAUACACUAAAAUAUGAUAUUAUACUUGUAAAUGAGUUGUUAAUGCAUUAUAUUAAACAAUGAAUUUUAUAAAUUUUAUUAACAACUUAAUAUAAUAAUUUCACAAUUUAAUAUACCUCCAGAUAUGAACGUAUAGAUGUACGCGUUAAGUUGAGAAUAUGGUUGUGAAUAUAUAACUUUUGUUUAUUAAAUUGUGAAUAUAUUGUAUUAAGCUGUGAAUUUUUUGUAUAAAAAUAUGAAUUAAGCUGUGAUUUGACUGUAAUAAACUAUGAUUUUUUUUUAAUUUUUUGUUUGCUUCUGAAAUAUGAGAAGAAUGAAUCAUUAUACACAUAUAUGAUUUUUUUCUAAUUAAAAUUAAUUAUAUAAAAUUUAAAGUGUGAAUAUUGAUUGAACGUAUAGUGAAUUAAACGUUGAAAGAAGCAUUAGCCUCCAAUUUAAAAGGUAUAAAUAUAAGUUUUAAGUUAAGAAUAUGAUAUUUCAAUAUACUAAAUUGUAAAUUUAUUAUACUAAGUUGUGAAUUUUAUGCGGUAAACAGUAAUCGACAAUAUUAAGUUUUGAAUUGACUGAAUUUUGCUCUAUUUUUUUUUAUAAAAUUUGUGUAAAAAUAUGUAUGAUGUGUGUAUGAAUUUUUGUAUUAAUGUUCUUAUGAAUAUAUUUAUGUUGUGUGUAUAAGUGUGUAAGAAUACAUUAGUUUUUAUAACUAAUUUGUAUUAAAUUCAGUGAGUGAAUUAAUAGAUUUAUUAAACUACAAAUGUAAUAUCUAACAUGUCAUUGUGUAACAAUAUAUACAUAUAUGAUUUGGAAGGAAGAUUAGUUGCGACAUUAGUGGAGGUGGUUGGCGGCGUCAUGUGGUGGUGGUAGAGUGGGGUUUGAGUUCUCUGAAUUUAAGAAUUUAUAUAAGAUGGAUUAUAUUAAGUUGUGAAUUUUGUGUAUUAAUUUGGAAACUG
RNAcentral lists this long non-coding RNA (2070 nucleotides) under Lactuca sativa (garden lettuce). RNAcentral describes it as "long non-coding RNA (LSAT_LNC005603)". The record is from RNAcentral. Lineage: Eukaryota; Viridiplantae; Streptophyta; Magnoliopsida; Asterales; Asteraceae.